This 241-nucleotide ribosomal RNA is filed under the name uncultured bacterium. RNAcentral describes it as "partial small subunit ribosomal RNA". It matches the Rfam family "Bacterial small subunit ribosomal RNA", at positions 26 to 285 of the family's 1533-position model. The record is from RNAcentral.
AGGAUGAACGCUGGCGGCGUGCCUAAUACAUGCAAGUCGAGCGGUAAGGCCCCUUCGGGGGUACACGAGCGGCGGACGGCUGAGUAACACGUAGGAACGUACCCCAAAGUGAGGGAUAAGCACCAGAAAUGGUGUCUAAUACCGCAUGUGCUCUUCGGAGGAAAGCUUCGGCGCUUUGGGAACGGCCUGCGCAUGAUUAGCUUGUUGGUGAGGUAAUGGCUCACCAAGGCGACGAUCAUUA